CCCGUGCAGGUGGCUUUCAGCUUCCAUUUUAAGUAACUGCAAAAUAAUAUGAUCUGUGUUUUACUUAUGUUUGAGAUGGAGGACAUUGUCAGAUAAUGGUAACUGAUUGUAACACUGAAAUUAAGCAGGGUUGUUGGUGAAGUGGCAUAUACAGGGAAACAUUGCUGGGUUCUAUUUGACAAUGUAGCAGCUGGUGAAUUCACAUCUAAGGUAGUUCAUGAGUGUCCAGAUGAAUGGCUACCUCAGCUUGCAGCUGGUAUCAAGACGAUUUUGCUAGUGCCUGUUGUUCCAUGUGGAGUUUUGCAACUUGGCUCAUUGGAAAAGGUGUGUUUUCAUCGAUAGAAGGGCAUUAUUUGGUAUCGUGGUCAGAUGCCUUCUUGAAU
Camellia sinensis is the source of this 383-nucleotide non-coding RNA. The record is from RefSeq and is a predicted model, not a curated record. NCBI's taxonomy places the organism in Eukaryota, Viridiplantae, Streptophyta, Magnoliopsida, Ericales, Theaceae.